AAUAGAUACCCAGGUAGUCCAUGCCGUAAACGAUGUCUACUAGCCGUUGGGGCCUUUGAGGCUUUAGUGGCGCAGCUAACGCGAUAAGUAGACCGCCUGGGGAGUACGGUCGCAAGACUAAAACUCAAAUGAAUUGACGGGGGCCCGCACAAGCGGUGGAGCAUGUGGUUUAAUUCGAUGCAACGCGAAGAACCUUACCUGGUCUUGACAUAGUAAGAACUUUCCAGAGAUGGAUUGGUGCCUUCGGGAACUUACAUACAGGUGCUGCAUGGCUGUCGUCAGCUCGUGUCGUGAGAUGUUGGGUUAAGUCCCGCAACGAGCGCAACCCUUUUCCUUAUUUGCCAGCGGGUUAAGCCGGGAACUUUAAGGAUACUGCCAGUGACAAACUGGAGGAAGGCGGGGACGACGUCAAGUCAUCAUGGCCCUUACGACCAGGGCUACACACGUGCUACAAUGGUCGGUACAAAGGGUUGCUACCUAGCGAUAGGAUGCUAAUCUCAAAAAGCCGAUCGUAGUCCGGAUUGGAGUCUGCAACUCGACU
RNAcentral lists this ribosomal RNA (541 nucleotides) under uncultured bacterium. Its description in RNAcentral is "bacterial SSU rRNA". It matches the Rfam family "Bacterial small subunit ribosomal RNA", at positions 777 to 1317 of the family's 1533-position model. The record is from RNAcentral.